RNAcentral lists this ribosomal RNA (497 nucleotides) under uncultured bacterium. RNAcentral's name for it is "partial 16S ribosomal RNA". It matches the Rfam family "Bacterial small subunit ribosomal RNA", at positions 28 to 507 of the family's 1533-position model. The record is from RNAcentral.
GACGAACGCUGGCGGCGUGCCUAAUACAUGCCAGUAGAACGCUGAAGCGAGGAGCUUGCUCUUCUUGGAUGAGUUGCGAACGGGUGAGUAACGCGUAGGUAACCUGCCUUGUAGCGGGGGAUAACUAUUGGAAACGAUAGCUAAUACCGCAUAACAAUAGGUGACACAUGUCAUUUAUUUGAAAGGGGCAAUUGCUCCACUACAAGAUGGACCUGCGUUGUAUUAGCUAGUAGGUGAGGUAACGGCUCACCUAGGCGACGAUACAUAGCCGACCUGAGAGGGUGAUCGGCCACACUGGGACUGAGACACGGCCCAGACUCCUACGGGAGGCAGCAGUAGGGAAUCUUCGGCAAUGGGGGCAACCCUGACCGAGCAACGCCGCGUGAGUGAAGAAGGUUUUCGGAUCGUAAAGCUCUGUUGUAAGUCAAGAACGAGUGUGAGAGUGGAAAGUUCACACUGUGACGGUAGCUUACCAGAAAGGGACGGCUAACUACGUG